RNAcentral lists this long non-coding RNA (502 nucleotides) under Salvia miltiorrhiza (redroot sage). Its description in RNAcentral is "long non-coding RNA (SMIL_LNC012049)". Lineage: Eukaryota; Viridiplantae; Streptophyta; Magnoliopsida; Lamiales; Lamiaceae. The record is from RNAcentral.
UCCUGAUUGAUUUGUUCCCAAUGAAGUGUAAUUAGUUUAAGAUUUUGGUGCAACACCCUGAUGAGCAACUCUUGAUGUGAUUUGUCCGGUAGAUGCUAAGGGGAGUGUUUUCAGUGCAAAUUCCUAAUAUCUGUCUCUGUUUUGAAUUGUCUGGUUGGUUAUUGAGUUUCUGAUAGUCUGGGUCUCUGCUCCUCUAAUGAUUUUAUUAUGAGCAUGGGAAACCACACGAGAACAAUUUGGAUAACCUCCAAACGUGAAAUCUCGCGAAUUAUGGCCCAUCUAUUAAGACCAAAAAUAACUUAACCCCAAUAAAAGAGAGAAGUGUAGUGCGAAAAUUGAAUGAAUUUGAAAAGGAAUGAGACAUGAUUGUAAAGGAAAUUGCAUUAGGAAAUUCACUCUUAGCGGAGAAUUGGGUCUGAUCGGAUUGAGUUGUAUCACCGUGUUGUUGCACUUUUAAAAUCUUAACUUUGAACACUUGAUUGGGGGACAUUGAUUUCUUGAA